AGAGUUUGAUCCUGGCUCAGAUUGAACGCUGGCGGCAUGCUUUACACAUGCAAGUCGAGCGGCAGCGCGGGGGCAACCCUGGCGGCGAGCGGCGAACGGGUGAGUAAUGCAUCGGAACGUGUCCAGAAGUGGGGGAUAACCCGGCGAAAGCCGGGCUAAUACCGCAUAUUCUCCACGGAGGAAAGCGGGGGAUCGCAAGACCUCGCGCUUUUGGAGCGGCCGAUGCCCGAUUAGCUUGUUGGUGGGGUAAUGGCCUACCAAGGCGACGAUCGGUAGCUGGUCUGAGAGGAUGAUCAGCCACACUGGGACUGAGACACGGCCCAGACUCCUACGGGAGGCAGCAGUGGGGAAUUUUGGACAAUGGGGGAAACCCUGAUCCAGCCAUGCCGCGUGCGGGAAGAAGGCCUUCGGGUUGUAAACCGCUUUUAGCUGGGAAGAAAAGAUCACGGAUAACACCCGUGGUUCUUGACGGUACCGGCGGAAUAAGCACCGGCUAACUACGUGCCAGCAGCCGCGGUAAUACGUAGGGUGCGAGCGUUAAUCGGAAUUACUGGGCGUAAAGCGUGCGUAGGCGGUUCGUUGUGUCUGUGGUGAGAGCCCCGGGCUUAACCUGGGAAUUGCCAUGGAAACUGGCGAGCUUGAGUGUGGCAGAGGGGGGUGGAAUUCCGCGUAGCAGUGAAAUGCGUAGAGAUGCGGAGGAACACCGAUGGCGAAGGCAGCCCCCUGGGCUAGCACUGACGCUCAGGCACGAAAGCGUGGGGAGCAAACAGGAUUAGAUACCCUAGUAGUCC
This 791-nucleotide ribosomal RNA is filed under the name uncultured bacterium. Its description in RNAcentral is "bacterial SSU rRNA". It matches the Rfam family "Bacterial small subunit ribosomal RNA", at positions 8 to 796 of the family's 1533-position model. The record is from RNAcentral.